RNAcentral lists this ribosomal RNA (288 nucleotides) under uncultured Sphingobacteriales bacterium. RNAcentral's name for it is "partial 16S ribosomal RNA". It matches the Rfam family "Bacterial small subunit ribosomal RNA", at positions 1096 to 1382 of the family's 1533-position model. The record is from RNAcentral. Lineage: Bacteria; Pseudomonadati; Bacteroidota; Sphingobacteriia; Sphingobacteriales.
GCGCAACCCCUAUCAUUAGUUGCCAUCAGGUCAUGCUGGGGACUCUAAUGAGACUGCCCGCGCAAGCGGUGAGGAAGGUGGGGACGACGUCAAGUCAUCACGGCCCUUACGGUCCAGGGCUACACACGUGCUACAAUGGUAGAUACAGCAGGUUGCCACAUGGUAACAUGGAGCUAAUCCCAAAAGUCUAUCUCAGUUCGGAUUGAGGUCUGCAACUCGACCUCAUGAAGCUGGAUUCGCUAGUAAUCGAAAAUCAGCAAUGUUUCGGUGAAUACGUUCCCGGGCCUU